GUGGGGAAUCUUAGACAAUGGGCGCAAGCCUGAUCUAGCCAUGCCGCGUGAGCGAUGAAGGCCUUAGGGUUGUAAAGCUCUUUCAGGGGGGAAGAUAAUGACGGUACCCCCAGAAGAAGCCCCGGCUAACUCCGUGCCAGCAGCCGCGGUAAUACGGAGGGGGCUAGCGUUGUUCGGAAUUACUGGGCGUAAAGCGCACGUAGGCGGACCAGAAAGUCAGGGGUGAAAUCUCGGGGCUCAACCCCGGAACUGCCUUUGAAACUCCUGGUCUUGAGGUCGAGAGAGGUGAGUGGAAUUCCGAGUGUAGAGGUGAAAUUCGUAGAUAUUCGGAGGAACACCAGUGGCGAAGGCGGCUCACUGGCUCGAUACUGACGCUGAGGUGCGAAAGCGUGGGGAGCAAACAGGAUUAGAAACCCCGGUAGUCC
Molecule: ribosomal RNA, 425 nt
Filed under: uncultured bacterium
Lineage: Bacteria
Description: partial 16S ribosomal RNA
Rfam family: Bacterial small subunit ribosomal RNA
Source: RNAcentral